Long non-coding RNA from Numida meleagris (helmeted guineafowl), 4045 nucleotides. RefSeq lists it as uncharacterized. The record is from RefSeq and is a predicted model, not a curated record. The transcript has 4 exons. Lineage: Eukaryota; Metazoa; Chordata; Aves; Galliformes; Numididae.
GGCUCCACAUAGCACCACCGAAACCCAAGCUCUAUGUCUGAGAGUGCUGUCCCAAUGCUCCCUGCAGCUUGGGAUUUUACCUACUGCCCUGGGCAGCCUGUUCCAUGCCCACCGCCCUCUGGUGCAGACCCUUUCCCUAACCCCAACCUGUUCCUGUCCUGGCACAGCUCCAUGCCAUUCCCUCGGGCCCUGUUGCUGUCACAGAGAGCAGAGCUCAGCGCUGUUCUUCUUCUCCCCUCCUGAUGCAGCUUCCUGAUUUCUUUUUCCAAGCUUCUUAAAGCUGCUGUGAAGUGUGCUAGCAUGCUAGUUCUAAUGCAUUUCAGUUUCAUUUUCAUCAGUGUAGCUAUAAAACCAUGUAAUCUAUCCACAUCAAAUAAUAAUACAUUUAGGGGGGAAAAAAUGAGGAAUCAUUUAUGUAAUGCCAAAUGAAAUCAAUCUUCAUGAGUUUUCAAAGAAAUAUUUGAGAACAAAUGAUCCUCUAGUGGUUCUUCUACUUCAUUCUCCUACAUAAUGCCAUGAUUGAUGUCAUUAUUGCUAAAUUGUAUCCUGUAAGUUGAUGUAUAUUCGCCAUUAAUAUCUCUAUGAAAGGUGAUUUAACAACUUGUCAUAUUAGCUAGUCCUGUCACUUUGCCAGUCAUAUGGUUCUGUCUGGUGUUUUACGUAUUUCCCCCGAGCCCAAUGGAAAAGGACUUGGGGGUACUGGUUGAUGAAAAAAUGAUCUGAAAGUGUGUGCUUGCAACACAGAAGGUCAACAGUAACCUGGGCUGCAUCAACAGAGGGGUGGCCAGCAGGGAGAGGGAGGGGGUUGUCUCUCAUUUCUCUGCCCUCAUGAGACCCCAUCUGGAGUGCUGCAUCCAGGGCUGGGAUCUCCAGUGCAGGAAAGACGUGAAACUGUUGGGGCAGGUCCAGAGGAGGUGCUAGGAUGCUCAGAGGACUCGGGCACCUCUCCUAUGAAAAAAGGUUGAGGUAAUUGUGCUUGUUUAGCUUGGAGAAGAAAAAGCUCCAGGGAGACCUCAUUGUGGCCUUGCAGUACUUAACAGGAACAUAAAUGCAGGAGUGUGACUGACUUUUUACAUGAGCAGAUGGUGAUAGUACAAGGGGGAAUGGCUUUAAACUAAAAGAGGGGAGAUUUAGGUUAGGUUUUAGGAGGAAAUUAUUUACUCAGAGGGUGGUGAGGCCCUGGCAGAGGUUGCCCCAAGAUGCUGUGGGUGGCCCAUCCCUGGAGGAAUUCAAGGCCAGGUUGGGUGGGGCCCUGGACAGCUUGAUCUGUUGGGGGUCAACCUGCCCACAGCAGGAGGUUGGUGAAACUGAGUGGGCUUUGAGGUCUGCAACUUUUUGUCAAGCCUUUCUUAUAUUAUUUAAAAGGCAUAGGUAAUGUCAUGGAUAAUAUACAAAACCAUGAUCUCUUGGAAUAUCUAAAGGCAACUGAGGAGGACCAAAAAGUACCACAUACACCACCUAAGAUUAGGUUCAUAAACCCUAGUUGUUUGCCCUGUAAAGUCUACUGUUGAAACAUAAGUAUUCAUAAAACUUUUUGUCAUGGUUUUAUGAUUUUUUGUUAUCAGUUUUCCACAUCAUAACAUCAUGUAGUGCACUGGGAGUUAAACAGUUAAUGCUCCAGUUCUAAGGAUCGUCAGUAGAAAAGAAGAACUACGUACCCCAGAGGACUUUGCAUUGUUCUGUUUUGUUUUCCAUUCAGAGGGAAAGAUAAAAACUGUACACAGAUCACAAGACGUCCCUUUUUUUAAUCUUCCGGUUCAUCCGAGCAGCGUCUCUCUCCCUAGCCAUCUCACCGCCAGCAUUAGACACAUUUUGGUGCAUCUACAGAACAGUGAGAUCAGGUUUGGCAGAGGGGGAACUGGUUUCCCAAAAUGGACUUCUUGCAGAAAGCUGAGCUAUUAGAGACCUGGGUCUUCAGUAUCACCACUGUGGAUUUCCUGAUGACACUGACGCAUUUUAACAGUCCUAAUUUCAGGCACAAUUUAUUUAGUUUUGAAGUGUCAGCCUCAUUUUAAUGGGGCUAAAACCAUGCAGCUAGUCAAGUGCAAAACAGCCUGGGGGAAAAUUCAGUAAAGUGGCCCGUAUGAAUGAAAGACCCUCAGAAGAGAGACAAGAGAGUUUCCUGUCUUCUAAAUGCUGAUAGCCUGGUACAUCAUCUCUGCAGCACUUUGUCUCCCUUUCCCUUGUGAAUGAUGCCCCAUCCCAGCCAUCAGAUGUCUGACACUUUUCACUCACAGAUGAAAGAAAAGUUGAAAUAAGAAGCUUCAUGCCAGAUCAUUUUUACUGUCUGAAAAAUAUAUGAAUGGCCCUUAAAAAAAAAGUAAGAUAGUAAUAUAUCUACAACACAUAUUUUUACUUAUUGUAAAAAUGACCUUUUUUUGAAGUGUUUUUUUUUUUUUCCAGGUAGUUAUUCCUAAUACAACUUCUGUAAGUGCAAUCUUGUGAUAAUAUAAACAUCAUAUAAAGUUAAAAAUGAAAUGCAUGACCUCAUAGGAACAAUGUGUUUAGUAUCUUUCAGUUAAGUUUUGAGAAAUGCAGUGUUAUUUAGAAAAUAUUCCUCAAAAGUCACUGCCAAUUUUCAGUUAUCAAUGGUUUACUUCUUUUUGAUGAAAAUGGAAUGUUUCGACAUACAAUGUAAGAAAACUAUUAAAAAUAUCCUGUCUCACCCACUCUUGAGAAACUUAAAGACUUUACUUGCCAGACUUUUAGAGCAGUAGUUUCGGAUUAUAAGGGACAGAAGCUUUGCUGGUGAAUCUUUUUCUAAUUAAAUGGGUAACUUGGGCAUCAAGUCUAUAUAAAACCUAGAUAUGACCAGCUGUAAUGUUCUUGUGCUUGUUCCUGCAUUAGGGAACCAAACCUGCAAUUAAUAAAAAAUAUUUUCAGUUACAUUUGGAGAACUUUGAAAGGUAUUUGUAACACUUCAGCUACAAACUGUGCUGUGAUUCUCUCUGAUUUCUGUUUGUUGCAUUUCAAUGAAAUUUACUUGGGAUAUCUUGUGAAUUAACUAUUUUAUAAUAUUAGGUUCCAUACUGCUGCAGGGAGUUUCUAGCUUUUCUUAUGGAAGUGAGGACUCACUUCUGUUAGUAGUUUUGUUAUUUUAAGGCAAACUCAGAACUGCAAAAGUUGUUUCACAGACUUUAAUUGAAAACAUGGCAUUCCAGGAAUUUAACUAAAUUAGGACGCUUAUGUAUCUCUUUGAAGAGUGAAUAUGAAGCCCACUCUGAUUGUACACAGAGUUCCUGCACAGACCUCAGACCCUUAUAGGAGAAAGAGCAAACUUGUGAAAUACAGCCUGGAAUCUUUCUUUUCUCUGGAAGUCUCUUCUGUGUGUUUUAUAUACUGUUCUCCACCUUCCACUCUUAAUCUUUUCUACAGAGAAUAAGAAUUCAAUGGUGCUCAAACACACUUUGCAAACUCCCAUUGUUAAAAUAGUUCCCAAAUUAGACAUUGUAAUGAAUGCACUCCCUCAACUAAUAGUGCUGUUGAAGUACUGUCGUUUUCACCUCCUGAACUCUGACACAUGGUUAUUAUAUUUAGCUUAAUUUUUGAUGGGUGCAAAGCACCCAACACACCUACAGACAGUGUUGAAAUCUGUAACGCUCAGACUUUGAAAAUCCUGACAGGGCUCUGAGUCCUUUCUUCAUCUCUUAUUUUUUUUCCUCAUUUUAUGGUCAUGGAAAUUGCACUUAUUAGUUCUUUGUAUUUAAUAAAUUAAAGCAGCAUUUUUAUUGAACUUGUUCUAUAAUAAUUGUUGCUGAAAAGUGUGUGAUUACACACACCAGAGCUGGAGAUCUUCAGUCAUCCAAUAGAGCUGUAAUUUCUAGCAAGAAGAGUUUCAAGCACUGGGAAAGGAUAUUUAUUUUUCCUCCACUGUCCUUCCAUCAAAGGGAUAUUGACUGAUAAACAUCAGACAGACAAUUUCUGUUUUCUAAGAUUUUCUUAAAAGUAAGAAAAGUAAGCCUUUGACAUAGUCCCUCACCAUAUCCUUCUCUCUAAAUUGGAGAGGUAUGGAUUUGAAGGAUGGACUGUUCAAUGGAUUAAGAAC